UACAGAGGGGGCAAGCGUUGUUCGGAAUCACUGGGCGUAAAGCGCACGUAGGCGGCCUUUUAAGUCGGAGGUGAAAUCCUGGAGCUCAACUCCAGAACUGCCUUCGAUACUGAGAGUCUUCGAGUUCGGGAGAGGUGAGUGGAACUGCGAGUGUAGAGGUGAAAUUCGUAGAUAUUCGCAAGAACACCAGUGGCGAAGGCGGCUCCCUGGCCCGAUACUGACGCUGAGGUGCGAAAGCGUGGGGAGCAAACAGG
This 254-nucleotide ribosomal RNA is filed under the name uncultured bacterium. RNAcentral's name for it is "partial 16S ribosomal RNA". It matches the Rfam family "Bacterial small subunit ribosomal RNA", at positions 524 to 776 of the family's 1533-position model. The record is from RNAcentral.